AUAACUUCCCUCUAGACUUAGCGGCUAUCGAAGCUCCAUCUACAAAUGGAUAAGAUCCUGUCUUAGUGUAUAGGAGUUAUUGAAAAUAAAGGAGCAAUAAUCACUUUCUUGUUCUAUCAAGAAAGCGGUAUUGCUCCUUUAUUUUCUUUUUAUUUAGUAGUAUUUUACUUAUGUAGGCUUUUCUUUCUUAUAUUACAGAAAAAGAAAGAAAAAGGAUUCUGUUCAUGAUUAAGGAUUCUACUUUUGUUCUGUAUUAAUUUGUUUGUAAUUUCUAAAACUUCUUCGUAAUUUUUUGUUGUGAAGUUUUUUUAUAUAAUAAGGGGCGGAUGUAGCCAAGUGGAUUAAGGCAGUGGAUUGUGAAUCCACCAUGCGCG
Molecule: unclassified non-coding RNA, 374 nt
Filed under: Ehretia grahamii
Lineage: Eukaryota; Viridiplantae; Streptophyta; Magnoliopsida; Boraginales; Ehretiaceae
Description: partial miscellaneous RNA
Rfam family: tRNA (bases 323-374)
Source: RNAcentral